UACAGGGGGUGCAAACGUUGCUCGGAAUUAUUGGGCGUAAAGCGCGCGUAGGCGGCCACUUAAGUCGGAUGUGAAAGCCCCUGGCUCAACUGGGGAAGUGCACCCGAAACUGAAUGGCUUGAAUGCAAAAGAGGGUCGCGGAAUUCCCGGUGUAGAGGUGAAAUUCGUAGAUAUCGGGAGGAACACCAGUGGCGAAGGCGGCCUUCUGGGCCUACCCUGACGCUGAGGAGCGAAAGCGUGGGGAGCAAACCGG
This 253-nucleotide ribosomal RNA is filed under the name uncultured bacterium. Its description in RNAcentral is "partial 16S ribosomal RNA". It matches the Rfam family "Bacterial small subunit ribosomal RNA", at positions 524 to 776 of the family's 1533-position model. The record is from RNAcentral.